This 298-nucleotide ribosomal RNA is filed under the name uncultured bacterium. Its description in RNAcentral is "partial 16S ribosomal RNA". It matches the Rfam family "Bacterial small subunit ribosomal RNA", at positions 29 to 355 of the family's 1533-position model. The record is from RNAcentral.
ACGAACGCUGGCAGCAUGCCUAACACAUGCAAGUCGAACGCGUGUAGCAAUACACGAGUGGCGGACGGGUGAGUAACGCGUGGGAACCUGCCCAAUGGUAGGGAAUAACUGCGGGAAACUGCAGCUAAUACCCUAUGCUCCCUACGGGGAAAAGNUUUAUCGCCAUUGGAGGGGCCCGCGUCGGAUUAGCUAGUUGGCGGGGUAACGCCCACCAAGGCUACGAUCCGUAGCUGGUCGAGAGGAUGAUCAGCCACACUGGGACUGAGAUACGGCCCAGACUCCUACGGGAGGCAGCAGU